This 1079-nucleotide long non-coding RNA is filed under the name Mytilus galloprovincialis (Mediterranean mussel). The record is from RNAcentral. Lineage: Eukaryota; Metazoa; Mollusca; Bivalvia; Mytilida; Mytilidae.
UAGAGGUCAAGUUCAAUAAUGACGAUUUUGACUUUUACCGUUCAGGAGUUAUGGUUCUUGAAAGAUCGUAAAAUGGUGUUUCCAUUCACGUUGUUGCAUUUACUCAUGAACCAUUCAAUCUAAGCUUUUCAAAUUUUAAUAUGUUGAUACUGAUGACAAAAUGGAGGUCAAAUUUGAUAUUGACGAUUUUCACUUUCACCAUUCAUCAGUAAUGGUUCUUGUGAUAUUGCCAGGACACAAAUAAAUGUUAAUAAAUCCGGUUUGCUGUCGUUGUGACAGCCUCUUGUUGUGUUUUGGUCUGUUUUUUUCGUACUAUAUGCAAUAGGUCUACUAUAUUUGUUAUAUGGAAUGAUUGUAAGGUGUACAUAUCUAGCGGGCAGAUGUCAUGGGACCUUGACCUCAUUUUCAUGGUUCAGUGGUUAUAGUUAAAUUUUUGUGUUUUGGUCUGGUUUUUUUCAUACUAUAUGCAAUAGGUCUACUAUAUUUGUUGUAUGGAAUGAUUGUAAGGUGUACAUGUCUAGCGGGCAGAUGUCAUGUGACCUUGACCUCAUUUUCAUGGUUCAGUGGUUAUAGUUAAAUUUUUGUGUUUUUGGUCUUGUUUUUUUCAUACUAUAUGCAAUAGGUCUACUAUAUUUGUUGUAUGGAAUGAUUGUAAGGUGUACAUGUCUAGCGGGCAGAUGUCAUGUGACCUUGACCUCAUUUUCAUGGUUCAGUGGUCAAAGUUAAGUUUUUGAGUUUUGGUCUUUUUAUCUAAUACUAUAUGCCAUAGGUCAACUAUAUUUGGUGUAUGGAAAUAUUUUAUGAUCUUUAUGUCAGUAGCGCAGGUUUCUUUUGACCCUGACCUCAUUUUCAUGGUUCAUUGCACAGUGUUAAGUUUUUGUGUUUUGGUCUAUUUUUCUUAAACUAUAAGUAAUAGGUCAACUAUAUAUGUUGUAUAGAAGCAUUGUUAGCUGUACAUGUCUGCCUGGCAUGUUUCAUCUGACCUUGACCUCAUUUUCAUGGUUCAUUGGUCUUUGUUUAGUUAUCUUGGUUAAUGUUAAGUUUAUGAGACAGUUGUAAUAAAGCUUUAUACUUAGGAC